RNAcentral lists this small RNA (55 nucleotides) under unclassified sequences. RNAcentral describes it as "Streptococcus sRNA SpF59 (ldcC RNA)". It matches the Rfam family "Streptococcus sRNA SpF59 (ldcC RNA)". The record is from Rfam by way of RNAcentral.
UGACCAUUCUUUCGAAAAGAAUUUAGGCCAUACGGACAGCCGGGUCAACUGCCGA